Molecule: long non-coding RNA, 2655 nt
Organism: Saccostrea echinata
Lineage: Eukaryota; Metazoa; Mollusca; Bivalvia; Ostreida; Ostreidae
Exons: 9
Source: RefSeq, a predicted model, not a curated record
CAAAAAACAGGCAAGGAACCAAAGUUGCCAAAAAAGACUCCAAGAAAUAGAGUUCAAGGAAAUGCCCAAGAAACCAGUAUUCAACAUGUUGAAGGAAAGACCCGGAGUGGUAGAAUUCCCAAAAAAAACCCAAAGUACCUAUAGAAAGUAAAUUGAAAAGGAAUGUCAGUGUGAUUUUGAUGGCUGACAAGCUUUUUUGUGGUUUUAAGCAUAGUGCUGUACAAGUCGUGACUGAUAAAGUCAAGCUGAUUACCUUGGAAAAGGUUCCAACCAGAGUAUUAUGGACUAUCUUGAGUCUUAUCAAAUUGGAUAAUUAUAUUGAACAGAUUUAGUGAUGGUGACUUUGGGAAGAUGGAACAGUGGGAAAACAUUUACAACUUAAAAUAAAACUCUUCAAGGACAUGUACUUAAAAAGUUGGCCUGUGGAAUACACUUCAUAGGGACAAGACUUAUUGGGCAGCUGGACGCAAGAGUCAACCGCAGGAAAUUGCUUCCCUUUCAGGAUACUUUAUAGAGGAUGUUGUGUAUGGGACAGAACACAAUCUUGUUGUAAUCAGUGAGAAUAAUGGAUUGGAUAGCAGAUAGGACACAAGUGCUGACUGAACUACAUCCUGCCCUCCACAGAGAAUCCCUAGUGUUUAUGUGCCGGCAGCUAGAGAAUCCUAGCAAAGUGAUUGUUAGAUGGGGAUAUACAAAGCCUUCUGAAGCUGCUUCUCCUCUGGUUUCAUCACUCCUCAUGGCAAUUUCUACCACUUACAAUUUAAAAUCAAUUAAAAUGUAUGUACAGUAAAACAUUUUUAAAUGAAUUGCAAGGGACAGCUGAAAUAGAUUCAUUCCAAGUUGAAUUUCUUUUAUUCAAUAAAUUUUUUGUUAUAUUGUAGUGCUUGAUGUGUUUAAACAUGAGUUUGCUUUUAAUUAUCUAUGUUUGUUACAAAACUGUGCAUGUACUUUGAUAAAUGAUCAAUAGGUCAAUAUUCCCCAAAUGUAGUUUAGAGUUUACUGUGAAAUGACAGUUUAUAUCUUAACAAUUUUAUCACAUGUUUACUUCUUUAUACAGUAGAUAUCAGUCAUAUGAUAUUGUUUUCAUAUAAACAGUUGUGAUGUCACAAUGUUUUUACAUGAACGUGAUAAAGUCAGUUUAAGUUGAUUUAGAUAUAAAACACACAAGUAAUAGCUAUUUUCAAACAUGUGAUUAAAAGAAUCUCACAUAGUUUGUGGCUGGAUAUCUUUUUAUCCAACUGAUUGUGUGUUACGUAUUCCCUCGCCAUCCAUGGGGCAUGAAGUCUAAGGUGCAAAACGUGUAAUUACUCAUACUAUUUCAACCAUUAUUUCAGGGGUAAACCAGUAUUUGCACAAAAAGGAAGCAAGUGUUUAAACUUAGGGCAGCAGAGAACAUGAGGUUACCAGCCAGGAUUUGGAAAGUCUAAGUCAUAGGGAGGGGCAAAUGAUUCAGGAAGAGUAUUUGAUGAUACCAUCAUUGAAAUGUGUCAGAAUGAUCUCUUCAUGUUCAAGUUCCUGAGAAUCCUGUUUUUUUGGUAGCCAUCAGAACUAAGAAACCCCUGGACCUACAUUUGUCCUAGAGUGCAUGGAAACUCCUUGAUUAGAGGAUCUUGAGUAGGUUUUCAGUUCAUCCCCUUGCACUGUUUUGAGGGUCAGUGUAUUGAUGGCAGAUUAAUCCCUGUUGUACCAGGGGGGAGUAGCAUUACAGUUAAAUUUUCACAGUAGAGGGGACUAAGAUGAAGCAGUGCUGAAUUAUAGGCCCAAGAAAAUGAAUUGACAGGAUUUAGUGGGACAGUUUUUGGAUUUGGAUAAAAUGCCUUCAGGAAGGUUGACACAAUAAAAUUUUUCUUGGAGGUGGAAGAGGAGGAUUGACAGCAUGAAUACAGUUUAAAAUCAUGAAGGCAAAGCGCAUUUUAUGACAUCUAAGUGUUUAUAAUACUAGAUAGUCCCAGAAAUACACUCACCAAAUGGCAAAGUAGUCUGCUCUCAGUUAAAUGUCUCACAAUUUGUCCAGUUAAGGCAUUAUUUACAUAGUUCUGGAAAAGACCUGACCUUACAUGCUUGUUUCUGCUCUGAAUGUUUCAUGGCAUGAGAAUAACUUUGGAUGAUGUUAUUGAGACAUUUGUAUUUAAUGCUUAUGUGAAUUACAUGUGUGUACAUAUAUUGUGGGAAUUCUGUUGUGAAUAGUGCAUAUCAUUUUGAUUUUUUUUUCUGUUUAGUGUUUAUGUUUGUGUAUUGCAUUUAUGAACAAAAAUUGUAAAAUAUUUUUUUUCAUUUUUGAUUUUCAUAAAAUUAUCUUUGUCCCUUUUGUAUACAUUUUCAGGUAUAAAUAUGCAUUGUGUAUUGUUUUUUUAGUGUUAGAGUACAAAUAAAUGUGAAGAAUUGAGUAGAGUUGUAUGAAGUGUAUUCUUAUAUAUUUACAUUUCCAAUGUCAUUGUCCGAGAUAAAAUUUCAAAAAGUAAAAAUAUUUUAUUUCUACAUAAAUCUACUGGUUCAUCGAUAGGCGUUGUGAAAAAAAAAAUCACGUGCGGGGCGUGACAAAUAGAGACAGAAGUGGGACUUGUUGCAGGUGAAUUUGCAGAAUCAAGGGCAUGUAAAUAUAAGGAAUAACUGUCAGAUUUUUUGGUUUCAUGACGAUGAUCGAAUGAUUGGCUU